GGUUCAGGAUGAACGCUGGCGGCGUGCCUAAUACAUGCAAGUCGAGCGAACAGAUAAGGAGCUUGCUCCUUGACGUUAGCGGCGGACGGGUGAGUAACACGUGGGUAACCUACCUAUAAGACUGGAAUAACUCCGGGAAACCGGGGCUAAUGCCGGAUAAUAUUUAGAACCGCAUGGUUCUAAAGUGAAAGAUGGUUUUGCUAUCACUUGUAGAUGGACCCGCGCCGUAUUAGCUAGUUGGUGGGGUAAUGGCUUACCAAGGCAACGAUACGUAGCCGACCUGAGAGGGUGAUCGGCCACACUGGAACUGAGACACGGUCCAGACUCCUACGGGAGGCAGCAGUAGGGAAUCUUCCGCAAUGGGCGAAAGCCUGACGGAGCAACGCCGCGUGAGUGAUGAAGGUCUUCGGAUCGUAAAACUCUGUUAUUAGGGAAGAACAAAUGUGUAAGUAACUGUGCACGUCUUGACGGUACCUAAUCAGAAAGCCACGGCUAACUACGUGCCAGCCGCCGC
RNAcentral lists this ribosomal RNA (514 nucleotides) under uncultured bacterium. Its description in RNAcentral is "bacterial SSU rRNA". It matches the Rfam family "Bacterial small subunit ribosomal RNA", at positions 21 to 518 of the family's 1533-position model. The record is from RNAcentral.